UCUCUUGUGCUCGGGCAUGUACUGUCGCCAGUGAGGUCCUUACCGAGGCACAGUCUUUUGCUGAUUGCAAAUUACACAUCCGAACACGUCCUUUGGCUUCGGCCUCAGGCAAUUUUUGGAAAACCCUCUCCGGGU
RNAcentral lists this small nuclear RNA (135 nucleotides) under Gloeophyllum trabeum ATCC 11539. RNAcentral's name for it is "U4 spliceosomal RNA". It matches the Rfam family "U4 spliceosomal RNA". Rfam says of the family: U4 small nuclear RNA (U4 snRNA) is a component of the major U2-dependent spliceosome. The structure of U4 snRNA from yeast and human has been reported. U4 snRNA presents a k-turn RNA motif in the 5p-SL related to recognition of Snu13 protein. Lineage: Eukaryota; Fungi; Basidiomycota; Agaricomycetes; Gloeophyllales; Gloeophyllaceae. The record is from Rfam by way of RNAcentral.